RNAcentral lists this ribosomal RNA (253 nucleotides) under uncultured bacterium. RNAcentral describes it as "partial 16S ribosomal RNA". It matches the Rfam family "Bacterial small subunit ribosomal RNA", at positions 524 to 776 of the family's 1533-position model. The record is from RNAcentral.
UACAGAGGUCUCAAGCGUUGUUCGGAUUCAUUGGGCGUAAAGGGUGCGUAGGUGGUGGGGUAAGUCGGAUGUGAAAUCCCGGGGCUCAACCCCGGGCCUGCAUUCGAUACGGGCAGACUAGAGUUCGGUAGGGGAGUCUGGAAUUCCUGGUGUAGCGGUGAAAUGCGCAGAUAUCAGGAGGAACACCGGUGGCGAAGGCGGGACUCUGGGCCGAUACUGACGCUGAGGAGCGAAAGCAUGGGGAGCAAACAGG